RNAcentral lists this small RNA (91 nucleotides) under Peromyscus maniculatus bairdii (prairie deer mouse). Its description in RNAcentral is "Y RNA (ENSPEMG00000002843.2)". Lineage: Eukaryota; Metazoa; Chordata; Mammalia; Rodentia; Cricetidae. The record is from RNAcentral.
AGUGGUCUGAUGUUAAGGAGUUAUUGAUACUAACACUGGUAUCACUAUAGUUACAUAUAGGCCCCUCAUUGAUAAAUUCGACUGGCUUUUC